This 497-nucleotide ribosomal RNA is filed under the name uncultured bacterium. RNAcentral describes it as "partial 16S ribosomal RNA". It matches the Rfam family "Bacterial small subunit ribosomal RNA", at positions 28 to 507 of the family's 1533-position model. The record is from RNAcentral.
GAUGAACGCUGGCGGCGUGCCUAAUACAUGCAAGUCGAGCGAACGGACGAGAAGCUUGCUUCUCUGAUGUUAGCGGCGGACGGGUGAGUAACACGUGGAUAACCUACCUAUAAGACUGGGAUAACUUCGGGAAACCGGAGCUAAUACGGGAUGAUAUUUUGAACCGCAUGGUUCAAAAGUGAAAGACGGUCUUGCUGUCACUUAUAGAUGGAUCCGCGCUGCAUUAGCUAGUUGGUAAGGUAACGGCUUACCAAGGCAACGAUGCAUAGCCGACCUGAGAGGGUGAUCGGCCACACUGGAACUGAGACACGGUCCAGACUCCUACGGGAGGCAGCAGUAGGGGAUCUUCCGCAAUGGGCGAAAGCCUGACGGAGCAACGCCGCGUGAGUGAUGAAGGUCUUCGGAUCGUAAAACUCUGUUAUUAGGGAAGAACAUAUGUGUAAGUAACUGUGCACAUCUUGACGGUACCUAAUCAGAAAGCCACGGCUAACUACGUG